GGAUUGUAGCUCAGUGGUAGAGCACUUGCCUAGCACGUGUGAGGCACUGGGUUCGAUUCUCAGCACCA
RNAcentral lists this transfer RNA (68 nucleotides) under Marmota monax (woodchuck). Its description in RNAcentral is "tRNA.Ala". The stretch from base 5 to 65 matches the Rfam family "tRNA", at positions 6 to 65 of the family's 71-position model. Rfam says of the family: Transfer RNA (tRNA) molecules are approximately 80 nucleotides in length. Their secondary structure includes four short double-helical elements and three loops (D, anti-codon, and T loops). Further hydrogen bonds mediate the characteristic L-shaped molecular structure. tRNAs have two regions of fundamental functional importance: the anti-codon, which is responsible for specific mRNA codon recognition, and the 3' end, to which the tRNAs corresponding amino acid is attached (by aminoacyl-tRNA synthetases). tRNAs cope with the degeneracy of the genetic code in two manners: having more than one tRNA (with a specific anti-codon) for a particular amino acid; and 'wobble' base-pairing, i.e. permitting non-standard base-pairing at the 3rd anti-codon position. The record is from RNAcentral. Lineage: Eukaryota; Metazoa; Chordata; Mammalia; Rodentia; Sciuridae.